GAUGAACGCUAGCGGCAGGCCUAACACAUGCAAGUCGAGGGGUAGCAGGAUUAAGCUUGCUUAAUUGCUGACGACCGGCGCACGGGUGCGUAACGCGUAUGCAACCUACCUUAUACUGGGGUAUAGCCCGGAGAAAUUCGGAUUAAUCCCCCAUAGUACUAAUGAAUCGCAUGGUUUAUUAGUUAAAGCAUUGUGGUAUAAGAUGGGCAUGCGUCCUAGUACCUAGAUGGUGAGGUAACGGCUCACCAUGGCUACGAUAGGUAGGGGGCCUGAGAGGGUGGUCCCCCACACUGGUACUGAGACACGGACCAGACUCCUACGGGAGGCAGCAGUGAGGAAUAUUGGUCAAUGGGCGCAAGCCUGAACCAGCCAUGCCGCGUGCAGGAAGAAUGCCCUAUGGGUUGUAAACUGCUUUUAUUUGGGAAUAAACCUCUUUACGUGUAGAGAGCUGAAGGUACCAAAUGAAUAAGCACCGGCUAACUCCGUGCCAGCCGCCGCAGUAA
Molecule: ribosomal RNA, 503 nt
Filed under: uncultured bacterium
Lineage: Bacteria
Description: partial 16S ribosomal RNA
Rfam family: Bacterial small subunit ribosomal RNA
Source: RNAcentral